Molecule: non-coding RNA, 657 nt
Organism: Danio rerio (zebrafish)
Lineage: Eukaryota; Metazoa; Chordata; Actinopteri; Cypriniformes; Danionidae
Source: RefSeq, a predicted model, not a curated record
UCAUGGGACCCAUAUUAAGUACCCAACUUUGAUUUGCUUGACACAAGUAGCUUUGCAGAAGAAGGAUUCCAGCUUAAAUAAAAACACGUGUCACAUCCAUAAUUGUUUGACAUCAUCUUCAAGCACACCUGGAUUCCUUGUUGCAAUGUCUUCAAAACAAAUGUAAAAAUGAAAGCAUUAAAGUGGUGAGCUCAUAAUGAUGGGAUCAAAAGGAAGUGAACUGGACUCUGAGGAACUUAACACAAGAUUGUGAUGGACCUAGAAUGCAACACCGUUUACGAAUAAGUCAAGAACCAAAUGAAACACUAUUUUCCAGAGCGCAGAUUAUGGAAGGGUCUGCAAAACUAAUGGAGCAGUUUCUUCUUCUUGGAGUGCCACAGCUUGAUGCUGCAUAUAAGGACUUAGUGAAGAACACAGAAACAUCUUUAAAAGAAAUGGCCCAAAAGAAGGGAAGGAAAGAAGGAAGUGCUCUAUGCUAGUCUCAUUGGACCAGCAGAGGAAACCACAGAAGAAAUCCAAAGGUCCUAACAGCUCUCCUGAUUCCGUCAAGGCUUGAAGUGUCAGCAUUACGUUGGCCUACACUCCCUCACUUGCCUUCCGCUCCCUCAUUUAUCAGAGGCACCACAGUAGAAUGAAUUAGCAAUUACUUUUCACUUU